GGGCGCGGGUGCAGAGGUGCUCGCGGGUGCAGAGGAGCGCGUGCGAUAAUCUGCGUGCAUUCGUCGAUAACUGUCUAUGCGAAGCACCGACGCAGCCAUGAGUACCUGCGGGGCUUCACUCUGUGCCACAACGAGCGAACCGCUGUACAGGAGCUCGACUAGCUGUCGCACCGUCUGCACAGGCACCACCGAAGGCACACGGAUCUCAGAGGGGCCGAGCAGCAGCUUGUCUUGGAAGGAGGGCGAGCCGAUUGCCAGCCCGCAGCGGUGCGCACGCAGCGAAGCUUCAUGAAUGCACACAGUCACGUCGCAGAAGUGCCCACCCAGCUUCUGCCCAUUGAGGGUCUCAAGCAGAGAGCGUGAGAAGUUCUGCAGAUGUAUGUGGCGCACAGCCUCUACAGCCGCCGACUCCGACUCCUCUUCAGGCACCAGGCCUGGCCGUGGCCGCCUUCUCACCGACUCCAAGGCAGCACUUCCGGGCGCUUCUCUUUAUUUUUAUACAGUUUUAUUGAGAUAUAAUUUACAUGCUAUCCAGCCCAUCUAUUUCAAGUGUACCAUGCAAGGGGUUUGUAUAUAUUCACAGAGUUGUGUAUCCAUCACCAUCGUUUUAGAACAUUCAUCACUCCAGAAGAAACUACUACCCAUCAGCAGCCACUGCCCAUUUCCCUGAUCUGCCCCGCCCUAGGAAAUCCGUAAUCACUUUCAGUCUAUGGAUUUGCCUAUUCUAGACCAUUCAUAUAAAUGAAGUCACACAACACUGGGUCUUAUGUGACUGGCUUCUAUCAAAGUUUGCAAGGUUCAUUUAUGUUCAUGGGCUGACCCCACAUUGGACACCGCUGCAUCCAUGUCCAUCACACAACACAGCUGCCGUUUCUUCUGCCUGCUUAUGGGAAAGUCCCCUCUUCUCCUCCGUUUUCUUCUCUUCCUGCCCUAUCACACCGUGCACUUCUCCCUUUCCUUAAAGAACCACCAUCAACUUUAGGAGGAGGGAAAGGGGUGGCUCUGGCAGGAAAAGCCAGAAUCCCCUCUAGCCAGCAGAGAGAGAGAGGAAUGGCUGCAUGUUUUCUCCCCCAGUCCAAGGCACUGGGUCUUGGCUGGGUUGAAGGUUCCAAGCUGCUCUCCUGCUGUGUCGGUGAGUUCUGGUCAACCUGCAACCUCCUGAUAUGGCCAUUGCAGUUCAUCGAGUCUUCAGGGACUCCCCAUGGCCUGGAGUACUUUGCCUUGCUUACACGGGAGAGGAGAAUGGAUUUAUAGAGAACAUCAUCUAAAUCCAACUUGACCAUUGUGUGGCCACACUUGCUAGAUUGCUAUAGUCUAAAUCUAGCAUUGUAGAAAGACGGGGGAGCUUGGAGCUGCACAAACCCAGGUCUGGAACUGGCUCCUUACCUUGGAAGGUGAAUGAUCCUGCCAGGACUCUUAGCCUCCCUGGGUCUCAAUUUCUUUAUCUGUUUCAUGGGAAUGAGGAUCUCUGCUGGGUGGUUGGGUGAUGUGGGGGCUGUGUGAAAACAGCUUGUCAAUACAAGCCAAAAUAGAAAUAUUUCUCCACAGAGUAUGAAGGUCAAAUGAGAGAAUACAUUUAAAUUAAAUGGAAAAUUAAAAUGGUAAAAAAUGCAAAGCUGUAUUGAAAGUUCCGAGCUUCUCUAUAAGGAGCUUUUUGACUAUGUAAGAAUCCUGUACUCGUUCCCCCUAAAUAUAAAAAAAAGUUGAAGGAGGCAGAAGGGAGAGUGAUGCACGAUGGGCAAGGACUUCACCUGCUGUUGCUGGCUUUGAGGAUGGAGGAAGGAGGCCACAAACCUAGAAGCUGGAGCCCCUAGAAGCUAGAAAAGGCAGGGACCCGAUUCUUUCCUUGAGCCUCCAGAAGGGACACAGCCCCGCCAGCACCUUGACUUUAGCCUGGUGAGAUCCUCUUAGGACUUUUGGCAAUCAGAACUAUAAGACAGAAAUGGAAGCCACUGAGUCUGUAGCUGUUUGUUGCAGCAGCAAUAGAAAACUAAUGCAGGGCCCAAGAAAUCACUGGUGAUGAGAUCGGGAAAGUGGGCUCAGGAGGUCUGGAUCUGUGAUGAGAUGGGGAAAGUGGGCUCAAGAGGUCUGGAUCUGUGGUGAGAUGGGGGAAGUGGGCUCAGGAGGUCUGGAUCUGUGAUGAGAUGGGGAAAGUGGGCUCAGGAGGUCUGGAUCUGUGAUGAGAUGGGGAAAGUGGGCUCAGGAGGUCUGGAUCUGUGAUGAGAUGGGGGAAGUGGGCUCAGGAGGUCUGGAUC
Molecule: long non-coding RNA, 2255 nt
Organism: Homo sapiens (human)
Lineage: Eukaryota; Metazoa; Chordata; Mammalia; Primates; Hominidae
Product: long intergenic non-protein coding RNA 1106
Source: Ensembl